AUCGUGGAUCAGAAUGCCACGGUGAAUACGUUCCCGGGCCUUGUACACACCGCCCGUCACACCAUGGGAGUGGGUUGCAAAAGAAGUAGGUAGCUUAACCUUCGGGAGGGCGCUUACCACUUUGUGAUUCAUGACUGGGGUGAAGUCGUAACAAGGUAACCGUAGGGGAACCUGCGGUUGGAUCACCUCCUUAMCUUAAAGAAG
This 204-nucleotide ribosomal RNA is filed under the name Escherichia coli. Its description in RNAcentral is "partial 16S ribosomal RNA". It matches the Rfam family "Bacterial small subunit ribosomal RNA", at positions 1341 to 1533 of the family's 1533-position model. The record is from RNAcentral. Lineage: Bacteria; Pseudomonadati; Pseudomonadota; Gammaproteobacteria; Enterobacterales; Enterobacteriaceae.